AAUCUAUAUUAAUUUUCCGCUUCUAUAAUAGGGAAUGCGUAGUUUUCAGGGAAACAUAUUUUAGUCACGUCCCCUAUUUCUUAAUAAAAAUUUUAAUUUCAUCAAUUUUAUGUUUUCAGCCAGCAUAAUGAGAAUGGAAAAAUUUUCUGAGGUGUUAGGUUUGAGUGUGACAAAAAUAUAUUAUAAGUAACAUCAUCUUAAUUUGGUGAACCCAAGAAGAUCACACAGAUUCUAGGGGACGGUAAUUGUUUUCUUAGAAAGAUGCAUUAGCUAUGAAUUAACAAAUAGCCAGGAGAAUCAUGACAAAAUUCUUUAUAUAAAUAAAAAAUAUUUUUACCACUUAUCUCAUUUUAUUGGAAGUGAUUCAAAAAAUUGUUAUGGAUGAAAUAUCAUCCACUGCAACAAUGUUGCAAACAAAAUUGAUUUUUUA
This is a long non-coding RNA of Gordionus sp. m RMFG-2023, 430 nucleotides long. RefSeq lists it as uncharacterized. NCBI's taxonomy places the organism in Eukaryota, Metazoa, Nematomorpha, Gordioida, Chordodea, Parachordodidae. The transcript is spliced from 3 exons. The record is from RefSeq and is a predicted model, not a curated record.